Molecule: ribosomal RNA, 497 nt
Filed under: uncultured bacterium
Lineage: Bacteria
Description: partial 16S ribosomal RNA
Rfam family: Bacterial small subunit ribosomal RNA
Source: RNAcentral
GACGAACGCUGGCGGCGUGCCUAAUACAUGCAAGUAGAACGCUGAAGAGAGGAGCUUGCUCUUCUUGGAUGAGUUGCGAACGGGUGAGUAACGCGUAGGUAACCUGCCUUGUAGCGGGGGAUAACUAUUGGAAACGAUAGCUAAUACCGCAUAACAAUGGAUGACACAUGUCAUUUAUUUGAAAGGGGCAAUUGCUCCACUACAAGAUGGACCUGCGUUGUAUUAGCUAGUAGGUGAGGUAAUGGCUCACCUAGGCGACGAUACAUAGCCGACCUGAGAGGGUGAGCGGACACGCUGGGACGGGGACACGGCCCAGACUCCUGCGGGAGGCAGCAGUAGGGAAUCUUCGGCAAUGGGGGCAACCCGGACCGAGCAACGCCGCGUGAGAGAAGAAGGUUUUCGGAUCGUAAAGCUCUGUUGUAAGUCAAGAACGGGUGUGAGUGUGGAAAGUUCACACUGUGACGGUAGCUUACCAGAAAGGGACGGCUAACUACGUG